GUGAGGAAUAUUGGUCAAUGGGCGAUGGCCUGAACCAGCCAAGUAGCGUGAAGGAUGACUGCCCUAUGGGUUGUAAACUUCUUUUAUAUGGGAAUAAAGUGGUCCACGUGUGGAUUUUUGUAUGUACCAUAUGAAUAAGGAUCGGCUAACUCCGUGCCAGCAGCCGCGGUAAUACGGAGGAUCCGAGCGUUAUCCGGAUUUAUUGGGUUUAAAGGGAGCGUAGGUGGACAGUUAAGUCAGUUGUGAAAGUUUGCGGCUCAACCGUAAAAUUGCAGUUGAUACUGGCUGUCUUGAGUACAGUAGAGGUGGGCGGAAUUCGUGGUGUAGCGGUGAAAUGCUUAGAUAUCACGAAGAACUCCGAUUGCGAAGGCAGCUCACUGGACUGCAACUGACACUGAUGCUCGAAAGUGUGGGUAUCAAACAGG
Molecule: ribosomal RNA, 425 nt
Filed under: uncultured bacterium
Lineage: Bacteria
Description: bacterial SSU rRNA
Rfam family: Bacterial small subunit ribosomal RNA
Source: RNAcentral